GGUAGCAGACAGGCCUUCCGAUGGCAUCCUGCGGGCUUGCCCUGACUGGCAAAGUCAGGGAACAGCCAUCAAACUACCUUACGCUGCAUAUUAGGGAAACCAAUAUGUAGUGAGCGGUAAGGAAAAACGGGGACUUUGAUCCCUGUAGGU
This is a non-coding RNA of Lunatimonas lonarensis, 150 nucleotides long. The record is from Rfam. Lineage: Bacteria; Pseudomonadati; Bacteroidota; Cytophagia; Cytophagales; Cyclobacteriaceae.